Molecule: ribosomal RNA, 462 nt
Filed under: uncultured bacterium
Lineage: Bacteria
Description: partial 16S ribosomal RNA
Rfam family: Bacterial small subunit ribosomal RNA
Source: RNAcentral
GACGAACGCUGGCGGCGUGCUUAACACAUGCAAGUCGAACGGAAAGGCCCUUCGGGGUCCUCGAGUGGCGAACGGGUGAGUAACACGUGGGUGAUCUGCCCUGCACUUUGGGAUAAGCCUGGGGAACUGGGUCUAAUACCGAAUAGGACCACGCGCUUCAUGGUGUGUGGUGGAAAGCUUGUGCGGUGUGGGAUGGGCCCGCGGCCUAUCAGCUUGUUGGUGGGGUAAUGGCCUACCAAGGCGACGACGGGUAGCCGGCCUGAGAGGGUGACCGGCCACACUGGGACUGAGAUACGGCCCAGACUCCUACGGGAGGCAGCAGUGGGGAAUAUUGCACAAUGGGCGCAAGCCUGAUGCAGCGACGCCGCGUGAGGGAUGACGGCCUUCGGGUUGUAAACCUCUUUCAAUAGGGACGAAGCGCAAGUGACGGUACCUAUAGAAGAAGCACCGGCCAACUACGUG